UGAGGAAUCUUAGACAAUGGGGGAAACCCUGAUCUAGCCAUGCCGCGUGAGUGAUGAAGGCCCUAGGGUUGUAAAGCUCUUUCACCGGUGAAGAUAAUGACGGUAGCCGGAGAAGAAGCCCCGGCUAACUCCGUGCCAGCAGCCGCGGUAAUACGGAGGGGGCUAGCGUUGUUCGGAAUUACUGGGCGUAAAGCGCGCGUAGGCGGACCGUUAAGUCAGGGGUGAAAUCCCGAGGCUCAACCUCGGAACUGCCCUUGAUACUGGCGGCCUUGAGGUCAAGAGAGGCAAGUGGAAUUCCGAGUGUAGAGGUGAAAUUCGUAGAUAUUCGGAAGAACACCAGUGGCGAAGGC
RNAcentral lists this ribosomal RNA (350 nucleotides) under uncultured bacterium. RNAcentral describes it as "bacterial SSU rRNA". It matches the Rfam family "Bacterial small subunit ribosomal RNA", at positions 355 to 722 of the family's 1533-position model. The record is from RNAcentral.